RNAcentral lists this long non-coding RNA (229 nucleotides) under Phoenix dactylifera (date palm). RNAcentral describes it as "long non-coding RNA (PDAC_LNC003524)". The record is from RNAcentral. Lineage: Eukaryota; Viridiplantae; Streptophyta; Magnoliopsida; Arecales; Arecaceae.
UUUGUGCUAACCCUGCACCUACGUCCACUUUUCAAAACUUUCUUAUUGAGAAUUUUACUAUAAUCUUUCUAAGAUUACAGUCCGAUCAUUUUACACAGGCUUAUAAUCAAUCGAGUUGAUUUUUUUAGAUAAUCAACCAAAAUCUACACCAACUAUUUUACUCGGGCUCACAAUCAACAAAGUUAAUUUUUUUUAAGCAAUCAACCAAAACCUUCUCCAAGCCUAUCCC